GGUGUAACCUGCCCAAUGAUCUUAAACUUAAAAAAUAUAACUAUUUUUAAAAAGAUUUAAAGGACGCAGUAUCCUGACUGUGAUAAUGUAGCAUAAUCAUUCGCCAUUUAAUUGAUGGAUAGUAUGAAUGGUUGAACGAAUUCUUCACUGUCUUAAAAAAAGAAAUAAUGAAAUUUAAAUAAUAGUAAAGAUGCUAUUUAAAAUUGUAAGACGAAAAGACCCUAUAGAGCUUAACUAUAAGUUCUUUUAGUUAAAAGAACAUAAUUCUCAAAAUAAAGAACUUGGUAGUUUAGUUGGGGCGACUAUCUUCUAAUAUUAACGAAGACAAGCAAAAUUAAUAUAUAAUUUAUUGUAUAACCUAUAAGUUUAACAAUUACAAAAGUAGGCAUAAUGACCCGUUUUCAUUUAGUAAUUAAAGAAAACGAUCAAUAAAUAAAAGCUACCUUAGGGAUAACAGGAUAAUUUUGUUUUAGAGAUCCUAUCGAAAACAAAGUUUGUCACCUCUAUGUUGAAUUAAGAUAUCCUAGUAAUGCAGAAGUUACUAAAGGUAGGUCUGUUCGACCUUUAA
RNAcentral lists this ribosomal RNA (568 nucleotides) under Hydractinia polyclina. Its description in RNAcentral is "partial 16S ribosomal RNA". It matches the Rfam family "Bacterial large subunit ribosomal RNA", at positions 1851 to 2591 of the family's 2925-position model. Lineage: Eukaryota; Metazoa; Cnidaria; Hydrozoa; Anthoathecata; Hydractiniidae. The record is from RNAcentral.